This 250-nucleotide ribosomal RNA is filed under the name uncultured prokaryote. RNAcentral describes it as "partial 16S ribosomal RNA". It matches the Rfam family "Bacterial small subunit ribosomal RNA", at positions 524 to 773 of the family's 1533-position model. The record is from RNAcentral.
UACGUAGGGAGCGAGCGUUGUCCGGAAUUACUGGGUGUAAAGGGAGUGCAGGCGGGCUUGCAAGUCAGAUGUGAAAUGUAGGGGCUCAACCCCUGAACUGCAUUUGAAACUGUAGGUCUUGAGUGAAGUAGAGGUAAGCGGAAUUCCCAGUGUAGCGGUGAAAUGCGUAGAUAUUGGGAGGAACAUCAGUGGCGAAGGCGGCUUACUGGGCUUUAACUGACGCUGAGGCUCGAAAGCGUGGGGAGCAAAC